GACGAACGCUGGCGGCGUGCCUAAUACAUGCAAGUCGAGCGAAGUUUUUCUGGUGCUUGCACUAGAAAAACUUAGCGGCGAACGGGUGAGUAACACGUAAAGAACCUGCCUCAUAGACUGGGACAACUAUUGGAAACGAUAGCUAAUACCGGAUAACAGUAUUUCUCGCAUGAGAGAUAUUUAAAAGUUGGUUAUGCUAACACUAUGAGAUGGCUUUGCGGUGCAUUAGCUAGUUGGUGGGGUAAAGGCCCACCAAGGCGACGAUGCAUAGCCGACCUGAGAGGGUGAUCGGGCACAAUUGGACCGAGACAAGGCCCAGACUCCUACGGGAGGCAGAAGUAGGGAAUCUUCCGCAAAGGGGGAAAGGCUGAAGGAGCAAAGGCGCGUGAGUGAAGAAGGAAUUCGGUUUGUAAAGCCCUGUUGGUAGGGAAGAAUGGAUAUGUAGUAACUAUACAUGUAAGAGACGGUACCUAACCAGAAAGCCACGGCUAACUACGUG
Molecule: ribosomal RNA, 499 nt
Filed under: uncultured bacterium
Lineage: Bacteria
Description: partial 16S ribosomal RNA
Rfam family: Bacterial small subunit ribosomal RNA
Source: RNAcentral